Molecule: long non-coding RNA, 6678 nt
Organism: Daucus carota subsp. sativus
Lineage: Eukaryota; Viridiplantae; Streptophyta; Magnoliopsida; Apiales; Apiaceae
Exons: 3
Source: RefSeq, a predicted model, not a curated record
CCCCGGGUUAUUGUGUUAUUGAUAAAUGAUUAUAUUUUUAAAACUGAUUUUCAUAUAUUGUUUUGAAAAUUCUGUAUGAAUAUUAUGUGAAUAUAUGUGGGAUGUGACUAAGUGUUACUUGUGGUAUUGCUCGUUUAAUUAUUUAUGGUGAUUUAUGAUUAUUAUGUGAUUAUUAUAUAUUUUUUUGUGAAUUUUGUGUUAUCUAGUUUAUUGAGCUGAAUGCUCGUAUGUGUUUAUAUUCGUGAGAUUUCAAUUUCUUUAUGCUCAGGAGAAAAUAUAGUUUAUUUGGAUAUUUUUAUAUCGAUUUAUGGAAUGUUAGAUGAUUUUAUAAUCGGUUUACGGAUUUAAUGGCGUAUAUUUAUAUUUAUUGAUUAAUUAUUUGAUUUCCGUAAAAACCGUCCACUCGUAACGAGGUAGCAAAUUUUCUUCCCGGAAGUUUCAACAAAACUCACCUUUUGCCUAAUUUGAAUAUUCCGGACAUUUUUCGUGUUUUGACUUUUUCGAUCCGGAGUACGGUUUUUCCCGGAGUCGGUCCGGCGGAGUUUUGCGGGUAUUUGAAUUGUUGAUAAUUAUCCAGUUUGUCUCGAUAAGCGUGAAACUAGAUAUUUUGAUUAUUAUAUUAAUUCUUAUCUUGUAAUAAUUGCGAUGGGACCCGCAUACUAAUGACUGAUUAAAAAGUCCUGUUUUGAUGAUUAUCUCGAAAACCAGUACCGAUUGGACCCUGCUUUAUUAAUAUAAAGCUAUUAAAUACGUAUUUUCAUGUCAUAAACGAUCCAAAGGGGUACCAAUUAUUUGUAAAUAUAAAUAGACCUUUCUAGAGCUUAUUUUCAACCGUAAAUCAUUUUCACCAGUUUCUGUUCACAAAUACCGAGAGAAACCGAGCUGCGUUCUUCGUGUUCUUCGUAAUCAAACAAGGUUUUGAAGGUGUUAUUUGAAUCCGAUGGAGGCGUAUGAAUAGUCAAAACGAAGCUAUCGACGCGUAGAAUCUAGUACAAUCAUCCGUUUAUGUGCAGAUUUGUCAGGAUUUGGAGGAGACGUAUACGCUCGAAGACGUCAGAAAGUCGGAAUGGUAUUGAAAAGCGAAUAAGGGAUGAAUCGAGUAAGCGAAGCGAUGUGGCGAAUAGAGUAUAGCUAGAGAUGGUCUAGAGAUUAUGAGAUGGAUAGAUUGUGAAAGUGGAAAGAUGAGGUUGAGCUAUGAAACUGGAGUCAGAUUUAAGGCAAGUAUCCUAUACCCUUCUUUUGGAUAUCUUGCGAUUAUUCUGAUUCAUUCUUUUCGUAUGUGUUGCAAAUAUUCGUUCCUCUCUUUUUCAUAUUUGGCAAGUGCAAAUAUUUUUAUCCAUCCUUUUCUAAUCCUCAAAAAUUCAGAUAAUUCCAGUUUUACAAAUUAAUUCGAAGUUCAGAUUGUCAUUGAAGCAUGUGUUGCUCAGUGAUGAUUAGAACCUAGAAUGACUUGGGAUCUUCUUGAUUAUUCAACCCGCCAUUGUCAUGCUGGUUUAGCAGGCUAAAUUCAGUUGCUUAGCCGAUAAUGGAGGAUACUGAAUAGUUAAGGAUUUCCUGAACUAUGAUUUAUGGAAGGAUGGACUCUGGUUUAUGAAAAGUUGAUUAUCAAAGUUUGAUUUGGAAUUAUUCUAUCAUUGAUAUUGAUUGUGUUUAUGUUCUGUUGUUAUACGUUGACCUGUUAUUGAAUUAUAGAAUUGGAUUAUUGUUUUUAUAUAAACCUGUGGACCAGAUUCGUGGUCAUGUUAGGCCAAUGAGUGCCUUGGAUCCAGUGAUAGAGCAUGGCGGGGCCUGCUCGGGGUUAGUGCGGAACUGAUCAGCUGCCUAACCUUGGUUUUAAUUAAAAUGUGAUAGUCCAAUUCAAUAAUUCUUUGGAAAGAUUGAAUUUCUCAGUUUAAAUGCUGCAAGGUAUUGUAAAUCAUUCUAUACAAUACCAUGAAACUCAUGAACUCAGGUUGAAUCCUCUUAUAUCUUGAACUCGUGAUCUUCUGUUAUAUCAUUUCAGAACUAUCAUUGUUUAUUAUUACUUGCUGAGCAUUGUUGCUCAUCCUUGCUAUUCCUUUCUAACCAUUUCAGAAAGGCUAAAAGAUGAGAUGAUUGAUUGAGAUUGUGGAUAAGGCUAAUGCUAGGCGAGGAGACAGAGUUGAGGAUCCAGUGGUCGAGGAGUGUUCAGGAAAGUUAAUGAGGUUGAUGCAAGCUAGAGCUGUGCUAUAAGGAUUCAAGUGUAAAUCAUAGCUGGAAUAGUUGACAGUGAUUCUUCUUAUCGAAGAUGAUCUGAUUUGGUAAGAGAUGUUGUGUAAUAAUAGUGGUUGAUUCUAAUUUCAAUACUGUAACCUGGAAACGAUCCUGUUGUUUUGGGGGUGAAGAUGUUCUCUUUUAAAUCUUUUAUUUAACGUCUUUCAAAUCUUUUAUUAAAUGUUUUCAAGUUUUAAAUUCUAUGGAUUUCAUUAUCUUUAAAAAAAAAAAAAAAAAAAAAAAAAGAAAAUACAGGUUUUCAAAAGUGUUUAAAAAUGGGUUUUAUGUGGUGACGUCAGAAUCCAGACCCCCGGAUUCCUGGACCGUCACAGUUGGUAUCAGAGCAACAGGUUAUAAGUAUUUGAAAUUAGAAUAUAGAUCAUAGUUAUAGGUUUUCUAGAGAAAAAUGUGGUGUAACCUCACAUAGAGGUAUGGUCGGACUAUUUAGGAAUAGUCUAGAGAUGUGAGUGAAGCAUAGAGUUUAGUUAGAUGAUCAAGUUAAGUGUGGAUAUUUGAAGAGAUUAGGAUUCUUAAGUUUAGACAUAUGAUUUCUAGUAUGUUGACUAAUUGAGAUGGUGAAUUGUGGAAAAGGUCAGUAUUUGACCUAUAUAGAAGAGUUUGAUAGUGAAUGAUUGAGUUGAGAAUGGUGAAAAUGCAGAGUUCAGAGUAUUCUGACUAUACUGCAUAUUUGAAACCGGAUUAUCAUAUUGAUUUGAGGAUGAUAUAAAUGCAUGGUUCAUAAUAUGUUGACCAUGUCAGAUAUUUGGAAGAUGUAUAUUGUUUUGAGUGAAGAUAUGAAGAGUAAGUGUAGAGUAUGAGUUGUAUUGGAUUAGAAGGAGAGAUUGGUAGAUAGAGGUUGAUAGGUGAGAAGUGAAUGAUAGAGAGUACGUGGAAUGGAGUCCAGUUAUUAGAGAUGAUGUCUACGAGUAAGUUAGAACGUUAGUCCUCGACGACAACGCUUCGAGCUAAUCGGGAUUUCAAUUGGCAUCAAGGUGGGCCCAUAACCCACAGGUUGAUGAUCCAGAUAAUCGAAGAUAUGCUACGUGCUGUGCUAUGGACUUCAAAGGCAGAUGGAAUGAAAUAGAAAAAAAAAAAAAACGAAGACUACAUGGGCGAGAGUUAUUACGAACGAUAAUGUCGACGAUGAAAUUUUACAAGGUUAUUACGAGUCAACAUCGAUUGAUUAUCGAGAACGUGGAGAAGAAGACAUACGACGAACAACGAUUUAUUGAAGCAGAGCGAAAAUCUGAGAAGACCUUGGCAAUACCUCUCUUCAACUAAAGAUUCUUUUGAUUGUUUUCCUCAUCAGCGAGUUAUUAUUAUGAUACCUAUUCUAUAAAAAGUUCUGAUAAAGAAGAUCUUCAAUUUCUCGAAUUCUAUGAUGACAAUGAUAUUGAUUAUUGGUGUGAGUUAGUAUUGAAUCGGUGUAUGAUAAAGGCGUGUUUAUGAAGAGACAGUGGAAUUUCUUGAUAUUAUUUGAUAUUCUUUGAUAUCCCUUGAUAUUCUUCCAUAUUCUUUGAUAUCCCUUAAUAUUCGUUGAUAUUCUUUGACACUCUUUGAUAUUCUUUGAUAUCUUUUCGAUAUUCCUUAAUAUAUUCCUCGAUAAUCCUUAACAUUCCUUGAUGCUCAUUGAGAUUUCUUGGAUUCUUUCCAUCUGAUUGGGAUGAACAACCCUAUGUAUAGGGGACACAAGGUAUACCUGUCUGUGUGAUAGGAGUUGGAUGGGACGCCAUCACUUGUGUGUGUUGUGAUUACAAGAAGGUUAACAACCUUUAGUAGUGUCUACUGUGGACACGCAACAUUAAGUUCAUUUGAUCGUAUUGAUCUCCCAGUCACUCUUAUAUUCCCAUGUGACCUAUUUUGAAAACAUCUUGUUCUAUUCGAAAAUUCCCAAGAUUGAUUCUUGGGAAAUGAAUGUUGCAAUCGCGAAAGUUUGAUUUUCCUUUUCCAUUAAAGUUAAAGGUAUGCCAAGAUCAAUCAAAUGUGGAUGACGAUAUGAUAUUACGAAGUGUGUACGUUUUAGUUUCUUCGGAGGAUUCCGAGGACGGAAUCCUUAUAAGGGGGGUAGAAUGUAAUAUCCCAUAUUUUUAAAUUUAGAUUUGAUUAUUAUAAAUCUAUUUGUCUAAAUAUUAUUGUUGGCUUUAGUUGAAAAGUGAAUUGAUUAUGUGAAUAGUUUUAUAUGAUUAUACUUGUUCUGUGAAUUAAUAUGGAUUAUACAGAUUAUGCGUCCUCCUUCUUUCUCUGAUUCCGAGGACGGAAUCCCUAUAAGGAGGGUAGAUUGUAAUAACCCGGAUUUUAAAAAUAUUCUUUUGUUAAUAUUAUAAAUGAUUUUCUUAAAAAGAAAGGAAUAAGAUUUAAUAUUUUAUUCCAGUUUAAUGAGUUUUCAAAAUUUUAUAUUUAAAACCCCGGGUUAUUGUGUUAUUGAUAAAUGAUUAUAUUUUUAAAACUGAUUUUCAUAUAUUGUUUUGAAAAUUCUGUAUGAAUAUUAUGUGAAUAUAUGUGGGAUGUGACUAAGUGUUACUUGUGGUAUUGCUCGUUUAAUUAUUUAUGGUGAUUUAUGAUUAUUAUGUGAUUAUUAUAUAUUUUUUUGUGAAUUUUGUGUUAUCUAGUUUAUUGAGCUGAAUGCUCGUAUGUGUUUAUAUUCGUGAGAUUUCAAUUUCUUUAUGCUCAGGAGAAAAUAUAGUUUAUUUGGAUAUUUUUAUAUCGAUUUAUGGAAUGUUAGAUGAUUUUAUAAUCGGUUUACGGAUUUAAUGGCGUAUAUUUAUAUUUAUUGAUUAAUUAUUUGAUUUCCGUAAAAACCGUCCACUCGUAACGAGGUAGCAAAUUUUCUUCCCGGAAGUUUCAACAAAACUCACCUUUUGCCUAAUUUGAAUAUUCCGGACAUUUUUCGUGUUUUGACUUUUUCGAUCCGGAGUACGGUUUUUCCCGGAGUCGGUCCGGCGGAGUUUUGCGGGUAUUUGAAUUGUUGAUAAUUAUCCAGUUUGUCUCGAUAAGCGUGAAACUAGAUAUUUUGAUUAUUAUAUUAAUUCUUAUCUUGUAAUAAUUGCGAUGGGACCCGCAUACUAAUGACUGAUUAAAAAGUCCUGUUUUGAUGAUUAUCUCGAAAACCAGUACCGAUUGGACCCUGCUUUAUUAAUAUAAAGCUAUUAAAUACGUAUUUUCAUGUCAUAAACGAUCCAAAGGGGUACCAAUUAUUUGUAAAUAUAAAUAGACCUUUCUAGAGCUUAUUUUCAACCGUAAAUCAUUUUCACCAGUUUCUGUUCACAAAUACCGAGAGAAACCGAGCUGCGUUCUUCGUGUUCUUCGUAAUCAAACAAGGUUUUGAAGGUGUUAUUUGAAUCCGAUGGAGGCGUAUGAAUAGUCAAAACGAAGCUAUCGACGCGUAGAAUCUAGUACAAUCAUCCGUUUAUGUGCAGAUUUGUCAGGAUUUGGAGGAGACGUAUACGCUCGAAGACGUCAGAAAGUCGGAAUGGUAUUGAAAAGCGAAUAAGGGAUGAAUCGAGUAAGCGAAGCGAUGUGGCGAAUAGAGUAUAGCUAGAGAUGGUCUAGAGAUUAUGAGAUGGAUAGAUUGUGAAAGUGGAAAGAUGAGGUUGAGCUAUGAAACUGGAGUCAGAUUUAAGGCAAGUAUCCUAUACCCUUCUUUUGGAUAUCUUGCGAUUAUUCUGAUUCAUUCUUUUCGUAUGUGUUGCAAAUAUUCGUUCCUCUCUUUUUCAUAUUUGGCAAGUGCAAAUAUUUUUAUCCAUCCUUUUCUAAUCCUCAAAAAUUCAGAUAAUUCCAGUUUUACAAAUUAAUUCGAAGUUCAGAUUGUCAUUGAAGCAUGUGUUGCUCAGUGAUGAUUAGAACCUAGAAUGACUUGGGAUCUUCUUGAUUAUUCAACCCGCCAUUGUCAUGCUGGUUUAGCAGGCUAAAUUCAGUUGCUUAGCCGAUAAUGGAGGAUACUGAAUAGUUAAGGAUUUCCUGAACUAUGAUUUAUGGAAGGAUGGACUCUGGUUUAUGAAAAGUUGAUUAUCAAAGUUUGAUUUGGAAUUAUUCUAUCAUUGAUAUUGAUUGUGUUUAUGUUCUGUUGUUAUACGUUGACCUGUUAUUGAAUUAUAGAAUUGGAUUAUUGUUUUUAUAUAAACCUGUGGACCAGAUUCGUGGUCAUGUUAGGCCAAUGAGUGCCUUGGAUCCAGUGAUAGAGCAUGGCGGGGCCUGCUCGGGGUUAGUGCGGAACUGAUCAGCUGCCUAACCUUGGUUUUAAUUAAAAUGUGAUAGUCCAAUUCAAUAAUUCUUUGGAAAGAUUGAAUUUCUCAGUUUAAAUGCUGCAAGGUAUUGUAAAUCAUUCUAUACAAUACCAUGAAACUCAUGAACUCAGGUUGAAUCCUCUUAUAUCUUGAACUCGUGAUCUUCUGUUAUAUCAUUUCAGAACUAUCAUUGUUUAUUAUUACUUGCUGAGCAUUGUUGCUC